GGCAACUUGUUCGGGUAUCCUUCCCCAGUGUGGAAGCUUUAGUUCUUUUGCUCUUUGCAAUGAAUCUUGCUGCUGCUCACUCUUUGGGUCCACGCUGCGUUUACACUGUGUUUAUGAGCUGUAACACUCACCACAAAGGUCUGCAGCUUCACUCCUGAAGCCAGCAAAGACCACGAACCCACCAGGAAGAAGGAACAACUCCAGACACGCAGCCUUAAGAGCUGUAACACUCACUGCCAAGGUCUUCAGCUUCACUCCUGAGCCAGCCAGACCAUGAACCCACCAGAAGGAAAAAACUCGGAACACAUCCCAACAUCAGAAGGAACAAACUCUGGACAUGCCGCCUUUAAGAACUGUAACAACGCAAGGGUCCGCGGCUUUAUUCUUGAAGUCAGUAAGACCAAGAACCCAAUUCCGGACACGUUUGGACCAUUACUUCACCAAAGUACAGUUCCUACAGGAAGAUAAUGAUCUGACCUAACCUACUAUUGGCUGAAGGUAUAGCAAAACCAACAGAUCAGGACACGACUGCCAUUGAAGAGAUAGUUUGUCAUACUCACAGAU
This 564-nucleotide long non-coding RNA is filed under the name Homo sapiens (human). RNAcentral's name for it is "HSALNT0378245". Lineage: Eukaryota; Metazoa; Chordata; Mammalia; Primates; Hominidae. The record is from RNAcentral.